CCUACGGUGCGCUGCAGUGGGGAAUCUUGCACAAUGGGGGAAACCCUGAUGCAGCAACGCCGCGUGAGUGAAGAAGUCUUUCUGUAUGUAAAGCUCUAUCAGCAGGGACGAAGAUGACGGUACCUGAUUCCGACGACCCGGCUAACUACGUGCCAGCCGCCGCGGUCAUACGUAGGGGGCAAGCGUUAUCCGGAUUUACUGGGUGUAAAGGGAGCGCAGACGGCAGUGCAGGUCUGGAGUGAAAGCCCGGGGCCCAACCCCGGAACUGCUCUGGAAACUGUGCGGCUAGAGUACUGGAGGGGCAGGCGGAAUUCCUAGUGUAGCGGUGAAAUGCGUAGAUAUUAGGAGGAACACCAGUGGCGAAGGCGGCCUGCUGGACAGUAACUGACGUUGAGGCUCGAAAGCGUGGGGAGCAAACAGGAUUAGAUACCCGAGUAGUC
Molecule: ribosomal RNA, 440 nt
Filed under: uncultured bacterium
Lineage: Bacteria
Description: partial 16S ribosomal RNA
Rfam family: Bacterial small subunit ribosomal RNA
Source: RNAcentral